CAAUAGCGUAUAUUAAAGUUGUUGCAGUUAAAAAGCUCGUAGUUGGAUUUCUGGUGGGAGCGAUCGGUCUGGCGCUUAGCGCGAGUACUUGCAUCGUCUCCGGCCAUCCUUGGGGAGAGUCUGUCUGGCAUUAGGUUGUCGGGCAGAGGAUCCUCAUCGUUUACUGUGAAAAAAUUAGAGUGUUCAAAGCAGGCUUAUGCCGUUGAAUAUAUUAGCAUGGAAUAAUAAGAGAGGACUUUGGUACUAUUUUGUUGGUUUGCGCACCAAAGUAAUGAUUAAUAGGGACAGUUGGGGGUAUUCGUAUUCCGUUGUCAGAGGUGAAAUUCUUGGAUUUACGGAAGACGAACUACUGCGAAAGCAUUUACCAAGGAUGUUUUCAUUAA
RNAcentral lists this ribosomal RNA (383 nucleotides) under uncultured eukaryote. RNAcentral describes it as "partial 18S ribosomal RNA". It matches the Rfam family "Eukaryotic small subunit ribosomal RNA", at positions 592 to 976 of the family's 1831-position model. The record is from RNAcentral.